This is a long non-coding RNA of Mustela erminea (ermine), 3359 nucleotides long. RefSeq lists it as uncharacterized. The transcript is spliced from 2 exons. The record is from RefSeq and is a predicted model, not a curated record. NCBI's taxonomy places the organism in Eukaryota, Metazoa, Chordata, Mammalia, Carnivora, Mustelidae.
GCCAGCCUGAACUCUACAGCUUCCCUUUAGAGGGGCUCCUCCGUCCCCUCUUCCCCGGCCCGGCGCACCCCCGCCACUUCCCUACCUGGGUUGCCCUCCUCCCUUCUGCCUUGAUCCAAUUCCUUCCCACCCAGCCGGGCCCUGGUGAAGCCCCCUCUUGCAGGAAGUCCCUCCUUGAGGUUUGUGAUGCUUUCGUGACACGUGGUGCUCCUUGCCUGAAAGGGCCUUCUGGCAAAACCCCACACGUCCAGUAGACGGGGAACAUCGCCACCUGGUGGCCAUCGAGGGCACAUGCGCUUUGGAAAGGAAUGGAAGUGCUGAGCUCAUCAAUCCGCGCUAGCCUUCUGAUGCAAAACCCACCCUCACCCUCCCGGGUGAGGCUGGCAUCUGGCGCAGGGGGGCACCUGUUUAGGCAGACUGCCCCCCCGCCGCCUGUUAACUCCGGGCCAAGUGAGUAUCCUUGGCAUUAGCCAACAGGGUCUAGAUCAUCUGGGCUGACAUGCAACAUGGAAGCUGAACCCGCUGCCCCACAGGAAGGCAGGUGGGGACCUUCAGGCUACAGGACUUCACAGGCCUUCAAGGUGUGGACAAGCCUCCCGGCCAGCCUCGUUUACAGUCAGCAGUCACACCUGCCACUCCAGGUGCAGAGACAGGACUCUGGAGGUGGCGCUUCUUAGUUACCACUGUCUCUGGGUGACACUCCCUUCCCACACCCACCCAGUCAUCUUCCUCUGUAAGGGCUUCGCGAACACAGAAACAAGCCAGAGUCCGCUGCUGAGAGGAGUCAGAUGAACGAGGAGGGUGUCUGUUGUUCCUUUUAAGAAAGGGCUGAGUAAUCACUGAGUCUAUCUUAUUGAUCAAGGUCCAGUCAUUUGCCAAGGUAUAUACACAUUUUAUUUAAAAAAGUUUACAGUUUUCAUUAUACACAACUAUUAAGAGGUUAUAGUCAGAGGCGGCAUUUGUCCUGUUGACAGAAGUGCCCGCUAGAUCAUCACAAUGCGAGGAGGAAGGUGGGAGGGAGGAGAGGGCAAGGAACAAAUAAGCGAUAAAAAGCUUAGAUUUCAAUUAAGGGCUGUAAGUCCCUUUUCUCUCUUCAAGUAUCACACAGUAUGUACCAAAUACAAUCAGUAAAUAAUGGCCAUUUCUUCCCAAGCCCACAGCCAAGACGAGUAUUUGCUGAAGUGAGAGUCCUGGCCCUUCCUCAGGUGUGUGGAGACCCUGCCCGCCCGGCCAGGGUGAGCUCCCCCUUCCCCCAGGGGCCUCCACCCCAAUCCUUGAUGAACUGCCAAGGUGUUCAGUGGCCAAAGAAAUUACGAACAUGGAUUCAGAAGUCCAAAGAAAACACAGGUCUUUGUGCCCAAUCAGAAAUAAUUUUAGUCAAGAAGGCCGUGAACCCGGUUAGAAGUUGGUAAAAGAACUCUUGCUACUUCUUAAUGGCUUCCACUUUUUCUGAUUGAGUCCCUAGAAUGUAGAAGGGCCACACGCCGUUUAAAAAUCGAACACCAGUUCCCAGAAACUUGGUGUCUAGAAACUUCACCCAUGAAGGCUAGCAGAGAUCUGUCUUUCAUGAUUCUAGCCGCAACAGGAGGCCUAAUGAAAAGCAAGUGUCAGGCCAAGGCCAAUCAGCUUCAGAGAGCAUUUUGAGGAGGAAAAAAUUCCUUCGAGGGGAGACACUCCUCAGGAGCUUAGCUCAGCCAGUUGGCAAUGAGAACAGCUUCUGAAGUAGAAGGACGUUAGGUACCGGAGAGACACAUGGCAACUUCUGAAAACUACCUUACUAGUAUAAAAUGCUAGUUGAAACUGCACAGUCACCUCAAGGAGGGUGACAAGAUCAAAGACAAAAGAGCACAAUGCCAGCAUCUAGCUUGGCUACCACGAAAUGCAACCUGCCAGGCCCCAGUGCCGGGGCUGCCCGAGAGCAGCGGGCUGUGGGCUGCGGCUGCAGCCACCUCUUGUCGGUUUUGGCGAGAGCUGGAGCUCGGUAUUUGAACAGGGGCAAAGGAUGGCUUGCGCUGGCCAACCACAAGGUAAAACUUGGAAACUAUGGGUAUGCUAAGAAAGGGAGGGAAACUGCCAGAAGCAACUCUUGACCUACCACCACCACCUUUAAAAGCAGUCACGUUCAGCCCCACUGAGGGGCUCUGGAUGCUUUUCUGAGUAUUACGACGGGAAAUCUGGGAAAGUUUCCAGAGCUGUCAUACCCCCUCUUCUAGCCUUACUGUAUCAUCAACCACUGCUGGCCAGAGUCCUCGGAUUCCCAGCCAGGCUUUCUUCCAGCUCCCUCUGUACCUAGAAGCACGGUCGUCUUCUCCUGGCUACCUCUCCCAGGUAUAGGAAGGGACAAAAAGUUAGCAUAAGAAGGAUUCUGUUCAACUCAUCAAAAGCCAGUUUCUCAGACUAGAGGGAAAGCCCCACAUGGAGCCAAAGCAUGCAUGGGACCAAGGUUAGUGCCCAGAAAGGACAGAUCUGCACGGAACCAGCAGGUACAGUGUGAUCCGGGUAGCCAAAGCCAUUCCAGGAGCUUCCUGCUCUAACAGGGAAGCCUCAGUACACCUUCAUCAGACAGACUUGGAUGGACAGACACACACGCACACAUGCUGCAGACGCACUUGGGAUCUGCUUCUUAACCCCUGUGACCUCCCCCGCCACUUCUUCAUUCAGAAAUUCUGCACCACCAGACUCCCAGUGCCAGAGCGUUCAAUCCGCGUCGAGCCAAUGUCUUUUUUGAGAAAAAGGUAUUUAGUCGGGGAGCAGAGCUGUGGCUCACAUACAUUCCCCCAAACUUGGCUCUACGUGUUUUGUCUGUUUUGUCUUGUUUUUGACAAGAUUAAAAGCAAUUAUUAUCUGGACAUUAUUUUUUUUUGAAAGGUAAUUAGAACACUAUUGUUUAUACAAUAUUGAAAAAAUACAAUUUUUAUUGUUUGAACUCAAAUCACCACCCAGCACUUUUAAAGCCUACCCUAAGUCGCACCUACAAUUUAAACGGUUAUAGCACAAGCAAACUGCUAAUUCAGCAGGUAAGCAGGUUAGACAGUGCCAGCAGAGACCCUCCCUCCCCCAAAGUAAGAGAAGACAACGCGCUAAGAGAAGUUAAAGCACACCAUUCCAUGUUAAAUAGUUAACACUACCCCUCCAACAAGCCACAAAUGCUAGAUAGAUAAACUCGGUACGGUUAACUAACCACAGCCCUACGUAACUGCACUUUAAAUUUUUUUUUUUUUAAAGAAAACCUUUUGCUUCAUGCCCGUAAUUAACAUAAAUUAAGAAAAUUCUUUGUCUUUUAGGAAAAUAAUCAUGCUAAAAGCAAGUUGUACUUUAUAUAGAUUUUCAAAGAAAAGUAUUGAUUGUGCUUUUUGAAU